This 41268-nucleotide long non-coding RNA is filed under the name Setaria italica (foxtail millet). Its description in RNAcentral is "long non-coding RNA (SITA_LNC003176)". The record is from RNAcentral. Lineage: Eukaryota; Viridiplantae; Streptophyta; Magnoliopsida; Poales; Poaceae.
AGUGAAAUUUUACUUAGGAUGACCAUAUCUGACAUUACCCGGACCUAUGAAUGGGGUGCUGAUGAGGGGCGAUGAUGUUCAACCUUUUCUGAAUUGCAUGCCAUUGAGCAAUCAAGGCAGCUGUGGGUAUCUAAUUUGAGCUGAUCUCUCCCCUCUUGAAGCCUAUUUAACCAUCUCUUAUUGUUUGUGGUUCUGUGCCUAGGAUGGUCAUUCAGAUAUGCGACAACCAGCGCAGUUCCACUUAUAUUAGGAUGAGUAAAUUGUGCAGCAAGAGGUGUGAGGGCUUGGCUUGUAUGAUCGAGCAAAGGCGAAGCUGAGCCCUCUUAGUACUAUUUCAAUACUAACAGCUUUGUCUUGCUGUACAAUUCAUAGUUUUCUUUUUCUCUUGUUUGAGUGUUUCAUCUUUCAACUAUUGCCAGCCUUCAUUCUGAAGUCAGAAUUCGGCAUUAGGGACUGCUCUUCCAUGCACUUGCAUGGAUGCCCUUUUGGGUUGCAGCAUCAAAUUAAGAGAAGAAUGUUUCCCUUUUUCUAAGAGUUGAUUCUUUUCUAAGAGUGUCAAUUUCACUUACAUGCAUGCCUUUUAGAAUUUGGGAAUGCCAUCUGUAAAUGGACCCAGUAUAUACAAAAUGGGUUGCUGAUGAGUGGCAAUGAUGAUCAGCCCUUUUUAAGGACAUGCCUUUGAUAAAUCGAGGCAGCUGUGGCGUCAAAUUUGACCUUGAACCUCUGUGUUGCAGCUUAUGCGAUCAUUCCUUGUUUGACCUUGAACCUCUCUCUCUGCCCUCCUUUCCUGGUGGUGAUGGCAACUAGGCAAGCCGUGGCCCCCUUCACACAUCAUCAUCAGGCCCUUUGCUGGUGACGAGCAUCCACCAGGUAUGCUCGCCCCUUCUCUUCCCUUCCUGUUGUGCUAAACAGAGCACCCCAAACCCUAAUGUAAGCUAUUUGUAUUCGGAUCUGAUCCAGUUACAAGUAUAUGUAUGUGUUAUACCUACAAGCUUUGAUUUUAUUUAUUUAUUUUUUGCAAAAAAAAGUCAGGUGUACAUGUGUACGCCCUUGUCCUAUACUUGGUCCGUCCUCCCCGCUCUUCAGCAGCCGCAAGCAGGGCAGUGGUGGCAGCAAGGGGUCGGAAUUGCAAGUCAGGCUUUUGUUUAAGCACUUUCUGCUUGCAAUAUUUUUAUUUGACUUGGAAUUUUCAAUGCCCCUCUUGAAACAUCCCCUCAAUAAAAGAGAAAAAGGAUAAAAGAAAUCUCAAUCAAUGUUCACUCUACUUCCACUGCUGUAUGAUCUUCGUUUUUGUUUGUUCUACUCUUGAGUGGCUAUGAUGAUUCAUCUGUAGCAUUGUUUUAGCUGGUACCUGGGAUUUUUGUUCUAUUUGUUGCUUAACUAGGAUGGCUUGUACAUCAAGUAACCAGUUCUACAGCCAACUGCGGCAGCUGAUGGCUGUUACCGCUGAUACUGAUGACAGCUGGUGGCCCGUCUGAACUGACAUUGCUGUUUCAUUUAAGGGGGGAGAGAGAGAGCUUAGAUUGUGUUGCAGCUGAUAUGGUACCUAAUCUGCUAUUUGAUUUGAUUUCUUCAAACCUUUUGUUUUUUUACUCCUUUGAGCUCUUAUCUACUUAUUUCUUUAUGCUCUUUUGCAAGUCCUGCAGUUGAUGCUCUACCAAUCCGCGAUUCUGUCUUGCGUUGCUGCCACUGAUCUCAAGGGUCGUUCUUCACUUCCCUUCCUGCUGGAUUCGAACCUGGGACCUGGGUCAAUAUUAUUGGGACUAAUAUGUCCAGUCAGUUCAAUCUCACGAGUGAGCUUUGGCUUCCUGCAAGAAUGAAUAAGAUAAAAUUCCAAUGAGGGGCAAUGAUCAGCAAUGAUGUCUGAUAUAAGCGCCUUUGAGGCAGGCUGCUCUGGGCAUCAAACUGGAAUCUUCCCUCUCUUGGAAACCUUAUCAACUAUGCGCUAAUGGCUUUGUCCUUGGAUGGUCAUGCCAUUCUUCAUGGGUGAUAACCAGGACAGCUCCUCUUUCAGAACAGGUUUAUAGGGUGGUAAGAGAAGGUGGGGAAUGCAGUUAUAUGAUGGAGCAAAGGCGAAGCUGAGCCCACUCAAAUGUUUUACUGCUACCCACAGUAUUUUAUGUGAUCGGUUUUUUGUUGAAUAUGUUGUUGCUUUGUGUUUUAUGUCUAACCUAUUUACCAACUUACUUUCUUUUUGCUGUAUUUGUAUAACUCCAUGCAGUUACCUUGCCAAUUGCGUUCAUUGGCAAGUUGUGACAUUUCUUAAUUUUUGCCGUUAAUUCUGCUAUAUUUGUUUGCAGUAUCCUGCUGCAAUAUCAGUGGUUACAUUACCUGAAGAUACUUUCAGCUAGCUUAGUGCAUCUACAAAUUUCUUGCAAUAAUUUAUUGAGUUAUGUUGGACCUCCGUGAGUUUGGACUCUGGAGGCAUUGUGUUAUUGGGAAGUACUAACUUUGGUCAUCACAACUAUUAUAUCCAUGCUGCAUUGAUAGUGAUGCAAGUUAUAUAUAUUUUGGGUCAUUGGGUCAACCCAAAAAGUUGAUAAAAUGAACUAGAAUGGUAUUCCACGUAAAUAAUUUGGGAGGAUAAAUAAACUAGUGCCAUGCCAUCGUAAUUAAUUUGACCCAGAAAACGCUAUUGGGUACCCACUUGCAUUCCUUUUGUUUUUCGGAAUUUUUUUGUCACUUUUGUCUGUUGAUCUUUCUUUCUUCUUUUGUACUGUUCUUCCGUGGCUGUGAUGAUUGGAUGCCCCAUAAAAGUGUUGCUUUUUAGCAUCCCUGAAUUGUUGUUUGCUUGGGCAUUUUUCUCAAUUUACUGCAUUAACUAGGAUGGCUUGUACCAUAACAAGUAACCAGUUUUUGCAACUAAUUGUUGUCAUUGCUACUGCUGUGGCUUUGGUCAUGGUGGUGUUGGAGGAGAUCUAUCUAGGAAUGAAUGAUCCUACUUGAAAAGUUCAUUGUGUUGGUAUUGGGGCAGAUCUGAGCCAUUCAAGUGACAUUACUGUUUGUUCCAUCAUUUGCUCGUACAAAGUUAUAUUUCUCGUUUGCUGUCUACUUAUAUUCCUUAAUGUUAUCCAGUACUCUCCAGUGAGUGAUUUCAACUUGGGAUCUGGAUGAUGGCAAUGGGACUAACAUUUCAACUCCUGUCUCCCGUCUCGUAAAAUUUGUAAUGCAUUCAGGCUUGGGUAGAUUCCUUGUUUUGUUUGUUGGGAUGCCCCAGCUUACUUGGUGAAUUGAUCAUUUUCUUUUGGGCGGGUGGGGAGAUUAUAUUGUGCUUCCACUGUAAGUUUUUUUUUCCCAAACACACAGGAGGAGCUGCGUAUCACUAUAUGAAGAAAACUAACACUGUAAGUUGUCAUGCUGAUAGUGGGUAAAUUUGUGCCAUUUAAGUGACCUCUUUUUUCUUUAUUGGACCCUUGUUUGAAUAACCGCUUGAAUUUCCGGAGUCUUUCAAUGACAGAUCAUGUUGAGAUGUGUCAUGGAUUAACUUUGGAAUAGGUUUGGAAAUCUAAAACCGGCUAAAUCACCCUAUGAACUAUGCAAAAUCUUCUAGACAACCCCCUGGUGGAUUUGAAGGGUGGUUUUGCUGCUGUUGCAUCUUAUAUGGCAGCUAAGAUGCUCUUUGAAUUGCUUCGAACUUUUAUUCGGUUUGGUACUCUUUUGAGCUCUUAUCUGCUUAUUCCUUUAUGCUCUUUUGUAUGUCCUGUUGGUGUUGGUGCUCUACCAAUCUGUGAUUUUCUUGCAUUGCUGAACCUUAUCCCAAGGAGUGUUUGCCCUCCUCCUGAAUUUGAACCUGGGAUCUUGGUCAAUGUUAGUGGGACAGAAAGUUGAGUUAAUUCCACCUUACCAGUUCCUGCCUAAGUUUCCUUCAAGAGCGAAGAAGUGAAAUCCUUAAGGGGUGAUGAUCAACAACCAUGGCUGACACAAGCACCUUUGAGCAAUCGAGGCUAUUGCGGGUAUCAAACUGGAAUCCUCCCUCUCCUCUCUUGGAAACCUUUACAACUAUGAUCUAAUGAUAGUGGCUUUGUCCUUGGAUGGUCAUGCCAUUCUUUAUGUGUGAUAACCAGGGCAGCACCACCUAUCAGAAUAGGUUGAUCUGGUGCAAUGUUAUACAGUCAUCCAACUAAUCGCGGCUAGUCGGGCUCAUCGCCCCCCUAGCAUCGAUAAGGACCAACGACUAGGCAUGAGCGACUAGAAAGUUAGUCGUCCGGUUAGUCGUCGCCUAAUCGUGAUUAGUCGUCUGAUUAGGCUUAAAAACGAUCAGGUUUGAGAGUUGAGACAUUGGGUUUUGGCUGGUGGGUGGUGGGCUACUUGGUUGGCAAUUAGGCCCAUUAGGCUACAGGUGCUACUGAGAGCCAAAAUUGCUCGCAAUGCGUCGCCGCCCGCCUACCCAAAAUCGCCUGGCACCAUCCAGCCACCCAGGAGGCCGCUGUCGUCGGGGAGCUGCCCAUGAGCUUCACGUUCCUAGGAGCUCCCCGUCUUCCCAGUUGGCUCGAAGCUCGCUGCCGCCCAGCCCUAGGAGGUCGCACUGUUCGUGAGCAAUCCGCAACUUUAAGAUGAGCUCAUCCUCCGAUGGUACGUUUUGUGCUCUGAUCUGCUGCUUUUGCUUUUAUGCUUGCCCUGCUCUUGCUCUAAUCUCCUCAGCUGCUGCUCUGCUCUUGCUCUGCUCUCCUCUGCUGCUGCUCUAGUGCUUGCUCUGCUCCUGCUUCAAGUUGCCAACUGACCAUCAUUUGUGGUGUUGAUGCUUGCUGAAUACUAUGCACUAUAUAGUAUACAUAUCAUAUCGGUCCUUGUAUGUAUGGACGACUAGGACCGACUAGAACCGACUAAUCGGAUCUGAUCGACGACUAAUCGUGACUAAUCACCUUAUCGGUGUCAUGGCAACUAGGUCCGACUAGAUGACUGUAUAACAUUGAUCUGGUGAUAAGAGAUGAUGGGGAUACAGUUAUAUGGUGAGCAAAGGCGAAGCUGAGCCUACUCAAAUUUUACUGCUACCAGCAGAUCGUUUUAUGGAGUUUCCUUCAUUUUUUAGUUGAAUAUAUUUUCGCUCAUUUUUAUUCUCUCCAUUUUUUUUUGCAAUACUUUUGGAGUUAUGUUUUAGGGUCCUGUACUCCUGUUGGAGCUGGGGUGAGUUUGGACUUUGGACUCUGGAUGCAUUGUGUUUUUGGCAGUUACCACGUUGGGGCCAUCUCAACUACUAAUACACAUGCAGUGUUGAUCCAUUUUGCCACUUUCCAUGCACUAUUUUGGGUUUUCAGAUUGUUUUCUGGUGUCACUUUUGUCUUGAUAUUCCUUGUUUUGCACUGUUUUUCAAUGGCUGUGAUGACUGAAUGCCCCAUAGAGCUAUUGCCUUUUAGCAGCCCUGAACGUAUGGAUAUUUUGCUCAAUUUGCUGCUGAACUAGGAUGGCUUGUACCAUGGAAAGUAACCAGUUUUGCAACUAAUUGUUGCCAUCGCUGCUGCAGUGGCUGCGGUGUCGUAAUACAUAUUGGAAUGAACAAUCAUACUAAAAAAGGUUCAUUUAGCGCCGCCGCCCCUUCGAGCGCCGCCACCCCUCCUCGCCGCCGCCUGAGCGGCCCCCAGAAGCCCUCGUGGCUGCAAGGAAGGCGACGGUGGGGCUCCACCACCCUCCUCUCUUUUCCUUCCCACCCUCGCGCUCUUCUUGGUGGCAUCCAUGGCGGAAGCGGCGGUCGUCGGUCAUUCGCGGUCGGAUUUGCGCCCUCAGCCGUCGGAUUCGCACCCUAGGCUGCUAGAUCCGCUUCCCUCAGGCCUUGGCGUGUUGGGAUUUCUGAUGGCGGUGGUGGGUUCGGCAAAGGCGGCGCGUGCUCGCCUGAACGGCGGGCGCCGGCGCGCGGCGCCUCGGGGUCGUACUCUCCGCCUGCAGCCUCAUCCUCCUGCGGGCAGCUCCCCCUGACCUCCCUCUCGACCAUUGAGGUGAGGUGCGUGGGUGUUGAUUUCACGGAGUGCUCAGUCGUGGUGGCUGUGGGCUCACGGUGCUGCUGCAGUGGUGGAAAGCAACGCGGGGGUUGACGGCGCCAAAAUGGCGCCCUGGCCUGUGCGUAGGCGGAACGGCAUGAGGCCGCAGCACUCGGUCGCUCUUUGGCUCGGCCACUACGUACCGUUGGUGCCUUGGCUGGGCCAUGGUGUUGCCGCCAUCUACGGCGCCUGCUGCUCGACUACGGCGGCGUCGACGACUGGUGCUGCACCGCCGGCAGCCUCGUCCACGAUCGGCGGAGCUUUGGCUGCCACGGUCGCGUCUGCGGUUCGGUUGUGGCGGCGUCGGCGAUCGGUGCGAGCAUGGUUGCGACUGUGACUAGCCGUGGCGGCGCAUGCAGCCAGCGCGCCCCAAUGAUGCCGAUGAUGUCUUGGGCGGAUGGCCUACAGUGGGUGCUGGGUGAAAGCUCUGCCUAGCAUAAUGCUAGGCCUGAUGACGGUGAUGCCUUGGGGCACCAUCUUCCUUCUUGAAGGUGUUGUCGUAGCACCACUUGCUCCAAUUCCACUCGGGGGGGGGAGUGAAAACCUAUUUUCAAUCUUCCAAUUUAGUGAUGGCGAUGUGUGUUUGACGUCGUCCCCUUGAUGAAGGCAUCGCUUUGGAGAUACUCUCGAAGGCAUCGCUUUGGAGAUACCCUCCUGCCACUUCUCAGGACCACCCAUGGUGAUGCUCAUCCUCCUUCCACACCAUCCAUACAUACACUUCUUCCAUCGUGGACAAUUCGUGGACAAUGGUUGUCGACUUCCAUCCAUACAUACACUUCUUCCAUCGUGGACAAUGGUUGUCGACUUCUAUCGUGAUUCGGUGACUGUUCCCUAGCACCUCUGCUCCGUCAGUGCUCUCCUUGUUGAUGGUGCCAUCAAAUCUUAUGCCGGGUAGUUCCACCUCUACUACCAUCCCUCUCGAGGUUUCCUCCCCUUGUACGUCGUUGGGUGGCGGUACGUGGAUCCCGGAUGUGCGACAAAUGUGGCGGUACGUGGAGCCCGGAUGUGCGGCAAAUGGUGUUAGUAUGCUUCAAGGGAGGUCCCCGUGUCCAGCGUGUUUUGGUUUGCGUGCCUCCUACCACCUUUAGUCCCCAUUUCGUUGGCCUAGCUCUCUACGCGUUUUGGUUUGUGUGCCUCCUGCCACCUUUAGUCCUCAUUUCGUUGGCCUGGCUCUCUAAUAGAGGGUGACAAUGGAGCGUGGCUCUCUAAUAGAGGGUGACAAUGGAGCGGUGGCUCUCUAAUAGAGGGUGACAAUGGAGCGGUGUAGUUAAAGGGGUGGAUUGGAUGUGCAAUAUCCAUGAUGUACCUGGCGAGCAUGUUGUUCUUUGGAGACUCAAAUCGGCGAUCGAUGGUUCUUCAGCCUAAAUCAUAGCCUUUCACUUGAGGUGUCUGUAUUGUGUUUCUACGUAUGUUGUACUCUGGUUGUAAACCUCUCGUGUUUUUCUCUUGCUAAAAAUCAAGACCAGUUUUGGCCUACCUGAGGCUCCAUAAUGAAAUUUAGGUGGGGAUUCUCUCCCCCUCGUGACCCUUCAAAAAAAAAGUUCAUUUAGAGAGGGAAGGAGGGUAGGAAACAUUGUGUUGACAUUAAGGGCAGAUGUGAGCCAUCCAAGUGACUUGAGCCGACUUUGGCUCAAGUGCGUUCGUUGUUUCCUACUUCAGCUUCAGUUAUAAUUCUCUCCUGUUCUCUAUCUACUUAUUCGUUCUUGCUAUCCAUUAUUCUCCGGUCAUUUCAACACGAGUCUUGGUUCAUGGUAAUGCAAUAAUGGGACUAACAUGUCAACUCUUGGUCUCAUCGUAGUUUCCUUGUUUUGUUUGUUGGGAUGCGCCACCAGCUUACUUUGACAAGUCUUUUCUUUCCUGCAGGCUCUCAUAUUUAGCUUACUGGUUUUUCAGUUUUAAUGAACGAUCUGAUCACCAAUUGAUCUAGUUGAAAUUGUAGAGUGAUGUAAGUUUGAGCAAAUUGUUGGAUUCUUACAAAAUAGUAAGCUGGAUUGUACAAACUAGGACCAAAAUUUGUUUAUUUGUUUCUAUUCUACUUGUAAAAGUUGAUUCCACAAUUGGAACAGAUAUAGGCCCUUAAGGCCUUAAUAAAGCAACAAAUUUGUUCAAAGGAACUAUAAGGAACUAUUAUGUUUUGGCUCAACCUAGCACUUAGAUUUUCGUUCUAUUAUUUCAGCAGAUCAGGUGGCCAUCCAUCUUCUCUCCUACUUAACGCUAUCAUUGCCUUCCACUGUGAUGCACUAUUGGUUACUAUUGCUCGUCGGUGUCCCCUCUAUGGCCAUUGGUUUUUUGGGUUGCUUCACCUCACUCUCACGCUCGCCCCUACUUCGGCCUCACGCUCGCCCCUACUUCGGCCUUUCUUCGCUGGCUUCGACUGUCAGAAUCUGAUACACCUUUCUGCCAUCUAGUCCUGCUAAUUGGGCUGGAAUCCGAGCUAUAAUCACACCCAUCCAUUCCCAGGAGGGAAAUAAAUACAACCCACCCAAAUCCAUACCUUUGCCACUACAUACCGUACCACCGUAAUCUUUUCAAUGUUUAUUAAGGAAACAAACUCUGGACCAACUAUGAUUUCAACACAUUAAACCCAUUAAGAAUCUGUUAGCUAGCUAGUAACCAAACUCCAUCUUCUUUGAGAUCAAUGUAGAUGUAUCUUGGAUUCCUCGAGAAAAACCCUGUGGGAAAAAUCUAAGGAAUAUGUAUGUACAAAUACGCUAUAAGAACUCCUUUAAACCUUAUAGGAAAGUAAGGAGAAAAUAGCAUAUACGAGUGUGAUUUAAAUAAAUCACCAUGUCAUUGGUAUCCCAUUAAAAAUCUAGUGGGAAAAAUAUAUUGGAGAUACGACAUAUAGAUUACCCCUCAAAACAUUUCAGGAAAAAUAUGAGUAAUAUAAAUUGAUAUGUUGCUAAAACUCCUGUAAAACGCAAUGGGAAAAUUAGGAGAAAAUAUGACAACAUAUUAUUGGUAUUGCCUCUUGAUAACUUACAUGAAAAACCUUUUAAGGGAAAAACUAUGGAUAAGUUGUGAGAGCAAUUUGUGUCUUUGAUAGUUUCCACAAAAACCCCCGGUGGGGAAAAUAGGAAAUAAGACACAUGCUUAUGUUCAUAUUACCUCGUUAAAAACUUUAACAAGAAACCUUGUGAGUAAAACUUGUGAAAGAAAAGAGUUUAAUAUGAUGCUGGUACAGGUUAAUAUUUAGGAGAUAUCUCCCCCUGAUUCUGGCAAAUCUCGAAGUCGCCGCAUACCAAUUCCAUGUACCAAUUUUUGAAAUAUAGAAGUUUGUAAGAACUUAGUAAAUAGAUCAGCGAGAUUAUCAUAUGACUUGAUUUGCAAGAUGUUUAUUUCCCCGCUUCCUUGUAAUUCAUGGGGAUAAAACAGUUUAGGAACAAAAUGCUUAGUGAUAUUGCUCUUUAUAUAACUUGUUUGCAUCUGUGUAACAUAAGCGGACAAGCGGAAUUAUCUUCAUAGAUAAUUGUAGGUGACUCAAUUGAACCAAUACCACAUGAUUGUUGUAUGUGGUUAAUCAUUCUGCGAAGCCAUAUACAUUCUCGUGAUGCCUCGUAUAGAGCAAUAAUUUCAAAAUAAUUAGUAGAGGUCGCUGUCAUAGUCUGCUUAGAAGACUUCCAUGAAAUAGUUGUACCUACAUGUAGGAAUACAAAUCGUGUUUUGGGAUUUUCCGUUAUGAGGAUCAGAUAAGUAACCAGGAUCAGUAUAACCAAUCAUACUGGGAUUAUGAUUUUUCUUGAAGAAUAGACCAAGAUGUUUUGUACCAUUAAGGUAUCUGAGGAUACACUUCGCUCCCGUCCAAUGACAGCGAGUUGGGUUUGCACUAUGCCUAACCAGUAAGUUCACUGCAAAUGCGAUAUCAGGCCUAGUGCAAUUUGCAAGAUACAUAAGUACAUCAAUGACACUGAGAUAUGAGAUUUCUGAUCCCAACAUCUUUUCCCCAAUAUCCCGUGGUCUAAAUGGAUCUUUCCCUACUUCUAAGGAACGAACAACCAUUGGAGUUUUAUUGUGUAUGAUUUAUCCAUAUUAAAUUUCUCCAAUAUUUUCUGGAUAUAGGCUGAUUGAUGCACUAAAAUCCCUUAAGGAUGGUGCUCAAAUUGUAAGCCUAGACAAUACUUGGUCUUACCCAAAUCCUUCAUCUCAAAUUCCAUCUUUAGAUGUUUGCGUGCUUCUUCUAUAUCCUUAGGGCUGCCAAUGAUAUUUAAAUCAUCAACAUACACGGAUAUAAUACAAAAUCCCGUUCGAGAUUUCUUAAUGAGAACACAUAGGCAAACAUCAUUGUUAGUGUGUCCUUUCUUUAGAAGGAAUUCACUCAGUCGGUUGUACCACAUUCAUCCUGACUGCUUGAAGCCAUAUAAUGACUUUUGUAGUUUUACACAAUACAUGUUGCGAUUUGCGUUUGAUUCGGAAUUUGGAUUCCAUCGGGAACCUUCAUGUAUAUGUUCGAAUCAAGUGAUCCAUAUAGAUAUGCUGUCACCACAUCCAUUAACUGCAUAGAUAGAUGAUUUUGAACUGCCAAUGAUAUUAAGUAUCGAAGAGUAAUUCCACUCAUUACUGGAGAAUAAGUUUCAUUGUAAUCAAUGCCAGGUCUCUGCGUGAACCCUUGUGCUACUAAUCUCGCUUUAUAUCUCACCACCUCAUUGUUCUCAUUCCGUUUUCGAAUGAAAACCCAUUUAAAGCCUACAGGAAAGACUUUGGAAGGUGUAGGUAUUGCAGAUGUGAAUACCCCUCUUAUAGUGAGCGAGGCUAUCUCAGCUUGAAUUGCUUCUUUCCAUUGAAGCCAGUCCGAGUGCAUUUUGCACUCUGCCAUGGUCUUGGGAUCUGGAUCAUUGAGAAAGACUUCUGCAAUUGCUGCGGAGAAGGAUAUGUCGACAACAGUAGUCUUACGAUCGUAUGAUUCUCCUGAAUCUAUGUAAUUGAUGGAAAUUUCUUUCACCCCAUUAUUUGACUCUACAUUUCCCAAAACUAUGGAGUCAGGAUGUUCCGAUAUCCUAGGAUCAGAAUUUGGAUGCACCAUUGAUCCGGGUUGUGGAUUUUAUCUUGAUGUUGGAUUUUUAUCCAUUAUUGGGUGUCUACCAACCUGAGGUUCGCUUGGAUUUACUGAUUUGGAGGACUUAGUCCUCGAUAUCCUCGGACGCUUACUUGGAGCAUUAUCCUUAGGAGCGGCUGUACUUUUCCCCUUCUUCUUUGGAACUGGGAGUUGAAUGGUUUUUAUUGGUACCUCCACUCUUUCAGGCGCAUUGCGAGCAGUAUAAGAGGAUUUAGUGACACCCUUAUAAUCAGUAAAUGCUUCUAGCAGGUUAUUUGCAAUAUGUUGCAAGUUUAUGAUUUUCUGAACUUGUUGUUCAGUCUCUAGAGUACGUGGAUCUGAGGGGGAAAUGCCUUGAGCAUUCCAGAUGAUUUCCUGGCAUUCUAUUUGGUACUUGAAGUCUGCCCCUAAUGCCGGGAAAUGGUCCUCAUUAAUAUAUACAGUCGACGUAUCGGGUCGUGAAUAAGUCCCCUGUAAGAGGCUCGAGGUAUUUGAUAAUUGAUGGAGAUUGAUAUCCCACAUAGAUACCAAGUUUCCUAUGUGGGCCCAUAGAAGUACGCUUAGGCAGUGAGAUCGGUACGUAUACAGCGCAACCGAAUUUUCACAGAUAGAAAAUAUUUGGCAUAUUCCCACGUACUAAUUGCAAUGGGGACUGCAUGAUAUGCAGUUGGUCGCAAUUGUAUUAAGUCAGCAGCGUGUAAGACUGCAUGACCCUAACUUGAGGUUGGUAGGUUGCAAUUUUGUAAUAACAGUCGUGCAAUGGGUUUAAUUCUUUUAAUAAGAGAUUCUGCUAAACCAUUUUGUGUAUGGACAUAUGGGACAGAGUGCUGAACUUGAAUUCCCAAAGUCAUACAAUAAUCGUUGAAAGCUUUUGAGGAAAAUUCAGCAGCAUUGUCCAUUCGAAUUGAUUGAUUGAUGUUCAGGAUUAUGUGCUCUAAGUCUAAUAACUUGAGCAAUAAUUUUUGCAAAUGCAUGGUUACAAGUGGAUAAAAGACACACAUGAGACCAUCUAGUAGAUGCAUCUAUUAGAACCAUGAAGUACCUGAACGGUCCAGACAGUGGUUGUAUAGGGCCACAAAUAUCUCCUUGAAUACGUUCAAGAAAUUUUAGUGGCUCAUUUGAAUCUUAGCGGGCGAUGGUUGUACGAUCAAUUUCCCUGUAGCGCAUGAAGUGCACAUAAAAUCUGAAGAUUUAGGGAAUUUAGCAGUAUUUAACUCAUGACCAUUAGAAUUGCUGAUAAUUUUUUGCAUCAUCCCCAUACUAGGAUGGCCAAGGCGAUCAUGCCAAGUUUUGAAUGCGUCAAUAUUCUGAAAAAUUACCUUAUGCGCAACAUGUGGUACGGGUUUAAUGUAUGUAUAGUACAAUCCGGAUGAAAAAGAGGGAUUUUUUUCAAUAAUUUGUUUGCUAUAUCCGCUAUUUUUAGUAAUGAGGAGAAUUUCCUCAUUAUUGUCAUCACAUGUUUCUAUAUGAAAACCAUUUUGACGGAUAUCUCUAUAACUUAACAAAUUACGCUUUGAGUCAGGAUACAAUAAUGCAUCCUCAAUUGUAAUUUGGGUACCCAUGGGGAGUACAACAGUGGCACUAUCAGAGCCAAUUAUUGUAGCAUCGCGUCCUGUCGACUGUCAAAACAUUUCCUUGUCUUUUUGUAAGAGUUUGGAAAUACUUUGUUUCUCUAAGUAUAGAAUUAGUGGUACCACUAUCCACGAGGCAUAAUUCCUCCUCCAUCAGAUUGACCCCCGUAGGAACAUGGGUUGUUUAGGAGCAUUCGCAUGUCAGUUGUUCUCUAUUCACGAGCGUGUUGAUAACAUGUUGAAUGUGAAUGUAAAAUGAACAGAGAUUUGGGAACUCCUUUAUGUUUAUUGAUCUCUUUGGAUUAUAUACAAGUGAACAGCCGCGUUGUAUGGACGUGACUGUUCGGGAAAAGGUACCUGUUCAAUGGAACAAUCUACUAACGAAGGGACAUGUCCUUCGUAGUGCUAACUGCUUAUACUAACUAACUGCUAAUUCUCUUCCUCUGUUGAUGAGAUCACUGAGUAUAGAGAGGUGUCUGUUAGGAACAGACACACCGUUUCGUAACACAAACCAUGUUGGCGGAUGAUUGCCCGCUGAAGCCGCUAUAAGAAGACAAAUGACCAUAAUCACAUAAAUAAUCAAAAUACAUAAAAGAAAAUAGAUAAGGAAGAAAACUGCAGCAUAUUCAGUUACAAAUAUAGACAAUGUUAUAAAUCUUGAAGUCUCAGUGACACGAAUUAUUACAAAUUAGUUCCAUCCACCAUGUUAUCCAGAAGAGGUCAAAUUAAACUACUACUAGGAAUGUCAAUUUACUACAAUACUGAAUUGCUGAAGCUAUCUGACAGAAAUGUCAUCUCCUUCAGCUGCGUCAAGAUGUGCUCCAUAUACUCCCGCUGCCAGUUAGACUCACGGUAUCUGGAACUUCUUCCCAUGCCCAUAAGUUCGAAUGCAUUCCAUAGAAACAAUCGCAUCAACCACCAUGAACCUUAUAUGUUCGAUCAAAGCCACUCGUGAACUGGUAAAUAAUCUGCAUAUGUCCUAAAUUUGUGCAGCUAUUUUUUGCCAAUGGUUAGGUAAAAGUUAGAAUUCAAGCAGCUAUCAGUGUGCAUCUGAAAGUUAGCUGGCAGUAGACGUUGACUCGAUGCAAGUUUACCAUCUGGAUGUCAACUGAGACCUUGCCAUGGAAUUGACAGGCUUGGGAUGUGCAAAUGAACCAGAAGCUCAAAGAUGAAAUUUUCAGUCAAGAACUCAAGAUACUAUCAUCACAUUAUGCAACUAAAAACUAUGGAGCUGCAACUUAUCACUACAAUAGAAAAGGCACUGAAUAGAAGGUCCUGUGUAACAAGAUAAAAUUGACUGAUCUUGCAACUACACACAAGAUGCCGAAUGAGAACAGAUGCACGAGAACAGAAAGACUUUUGGAACAUCUUCUUUGACAAAAAUUAAUUUCUGGAACAUUCAACAAACACUUGAGAUUGCCAUUUGCCAAUGUAACUCUUAGCUCUGAUAUCACAUAUUGUUAUUAAAAUUUGCUUAAGAUGUACUCCCUCCGUCCCAAAAAGAAUGAUUUUCGGGGCUUUUUCAGAUAGAUUAGGGGUGAAUGAAAAAGACGCAUGCACCCUUUGUUAGUUCAGUUUGCAUAUAGAAAAUGGAGAAAAUAUGUUUCCAUUUAAUGGUGCAUGUACCAGAUCAAUGCGACAAAUUAUGCAUGCAUAAGAUUCAAAUCCUAGAACGUCAUUCUUUUUGACAAAUUUUGAAUGCUAAAACAUCAUUCUUUUUGGGACGGAGGGAAUAGUCAGGUUAAAAAAGCAAGAUCCUGAAUCUUCAAAGUCAAUGGCAGAUUGGUAGUGUGGUAGUACUUAUUUCAACCAACCAAACAUCUCAAUCAAUCAAGAAAUCAUAAUGACAAGAUACCACCAUAACAAUAUAUAGGAAUUAUGCAUCAAGAAUUCUUACAACAACAACAACAUAGCCUUUUAGUUCCAAGCAAGUUGGGUAGGCUAGAGUUGAAGCCCAACAAGAGCCACAAAUCAGGGUUUAAGCACAUGAAUAGCUGUUUUCCAAGCACUCCUAUCUAGGGCUAAAUCUUUAGGUAUAUUCUAUCCCUUCAAAUCUCCUUUUAUUGCUUCUUCCCAUGUCAAUUUUGGUCUUCCUUGCCUCUCUUCACAUUACUAUCACGCCUUAAGGUUCCACUACACACCAGUGCUUCCGGAGACCUAUGUUGGACAUGUCCAAACCAUCUCAGCCGGUGUUGGAUAAGUUUUUCUUCAAUUGGUGCUACCCUUAAUCUAUCACAUAUAUCCUCGUUCCGAACUCGAUCCCUUCUCGUAUGACCACAAAUUCAACACCACAUAUGUAUUUCCGCAACAUUUAUCUGUUGGACACAUCGUCUUUUUGUAGGCCAACAUUAUGCACCAUACAACAUUGCAGGUCUAAUCAUCUUCAUAUAAAACUUGCCUUUUAGCUUCAAUGGUACCCUCUUGUCAUAUAAAAUUAUCCGAUAUGAUGUCGCUAAGAGGGUUACGCCCCAACGGAUUUCUCUUGGGUUUCAUCUCCAUUAGAAUAGCUAGGUUAAACGUUGGCUCGCCAAGCCUAUCAUAACCCUCCUCCUUUACCAGGGCUUAGGACCUGCUAUGUUGAGACAACAUAGGCGGAGUUGCAGCAAGAAUUCUUACUGGUAAGAAAAAUUAAGGCACCAUACCUAAAUACUAUGAAUUACAUGCUAACACAAACAAUGUCCGCAGGUUAGAAUUGUAAGUUAGAAUUAACAAUGAAACAUAAAUAGUUGUAAGAUUAGAUUAAGCAAGGACGCAUUCCGCAGGUUGAAAGGAGCAAGCAAGCACGCAUGUGAAAACUGGAACUGAAAGAGGCAGGUGGGAGCGUUACGGCCCAGACAUUAGUGAUGCAGUCCUUCAUGUCGCUGCGGCGGCAGUCCCAGCAGAGCUCCUCGAUGGCCAGGAGCCGGCAACAGAGGUCGGCCAUGUUACACAAUCGCACUCCAUCAGGAAGACGCACUUGCGGAGGGUUUCUUCUCCUCCAGCAUCGCUGUGCGCCUUCUUGUCCUCCUCGUCAUCCUCGCCUGGGGCUGGCAGCUGGACCAUCUAGAUGUGGCUGAUGUCAUGAUCCAGGCAGCGCUCCACCUCAACGUUCUCCUCCAUGUUGCAUUGUUGCUAUCACCGGAGCCGGAGUCAUCCUCGCUGGCGGCGCCCUCAGCGUCGGCUCGGAGGUGGGAGCCGAAGGGGAUAACGCGGAGGAGGAGAUGGGGGAGGGGAUGAGGCACGCCUGGAUCUCGUCAGAUUUGACGGCCAUGAGGGAGCACUUCUCGAGUGGUUCUUGGACUCAUCGGACUCGAUAUGUGGUGGCCGCAAAGGAGGUUGGGAUGGGCAGGAAGCAUGGCGUGGUGGUGGUGGGUGAGGUGGAGUCGUGGUGGAUGCGGCAACACGCGAGGCGGCGGCGGAAGGGAGGCGAGGCCCUCGCCUGCAAGUCUGGGAUCUACGGGCUACCUGAGUGUUUAUCCAACCCACUCUUGUAAUUAGCAUGCAACCCAUGGUUUGCAUCGCGUUACAAUCCGAUAAAACGAACCCCACUCCAAUACCUAACCAACCCACUCUAAUCGGCAGUCCAAACCAAACCUACCCAAUAACUUUUCAAUCCAUUACUCACGAAAUCAAUGCAGUUCCAUUCAAAAUCCGAUCCACUAAAACCAUUAACACCAGCCCAAUCAGCAGAGCUACUGCCAUCAAGCUAACCUGGCAAUGGGUGAUGGGGGUGUAUGACUUGCGGAAGCUAGCUAGUCAGCCCAUUAUAUCUAAUUAGCUAGCCCAUUAGGUCAAAAUAUAAAUCUAAAUCAACAUAUCAAUAAGAUAAUAUGAUAGAUUCAACAUUAUCAGAAAAAUAGUCUAACAUCUAAGGUCCUAUUUGUUUGAGCUCUAUAUUUAAUACUCUAAAUUAGUAUGUAAAACAAUUGCACAGAUGAAGUCUAAUUCGCGAGAUGAAUCUAUUAAACCUAAUUAAUUCAUGAUAGCACAUAUUUACUGUCAAAUCAUGGACUAAUUAGGUUUAAUACAUUCGUCUCGCGAAUUAGCCUCCAUCUGUGCAAUUGGUUUUUAAUUAGCUCAUGUUAGUCCUCCUAAUUAGUAUCAAAAUAUUCGAUGUAAUAGGGACUAAACUUUAGUUCGUGGAACCAAACAGCCCCCUUCAUCAAUGAUUAGUCCCUUCGAUUUUGGCAUUGUUUCUUGAUCGGGACAAGUCAUGGAACCCUUUGUUCUCUUUAAAAUGCUCUUGAUUUCUGUAAGGUCAAGUCAUGGAACCUUUUGUUCUCUUUAAAAUGCUCUUGAUUUCUGUAAGGUCCCGUUUGGAUCCCUCCAUUUUAAAGGAAUUAGAAUCUACUUAAUGAAGUAGGCUAAUUAUUUUAUAGGAAGAAGAAUCGUCCCACUUUCCCUCUUGGAAGGAGCAUAGCACUGUAGAACGUGACAUUCCACAACUUUUCAAAGUUCAGAUAUAACUCUAUCUUAAAUUCAUGGGGGUGGGAGAUGGAAAUUGAUUAUAUAGAUCCUCGUGCUAUGUUUCUAAUGUGCAACUUAUAGCACGCUCUUCGACUCGCUUCCCUAUAGCAGAAGUGCAUCACAUAAGUAUCUCUCCCGUAUGGCCAACAAUAAUAUACAAAUAUAUUCCACAUACAAUUAUAUUAGCUUAAUUAAUUUGUGUCUAAAUUAUGAUUAUUAGAAUGUAAUUCAAUUCCAAGGAUCCAAAGGGGCGUAAGAUUAAUUUGUAUUUGAAUCUUGUGUGGCAUGGUUCCUCUAAUUUAGGAUUUGAGGAGGUAUUGAUGGUUUCUCCUUUAUCUUGAACGAACCAUGCGAAGGAGCCACAGAUUAUAUUAAAACGAACUAGGCACUGGUGGUUUCCAGCAUCACCAAUUUUCAAAUUAGGCUUGAUCUAUGGAAUUUCAACUUUCUUUUUGAGGAAAUAAAUUGUAACUAGUUCGUGUUGUAUUUAAGUUCAGCAACUCUUCGGCGCAAACCUUCGGUGGUGACAUAAUUGGAUGGUUUCAAUGUUGCAAGUGCAAUUCUUGUAGAUUCUCAAAAAAGUUCUAUUCCAUGGCUAAGAAGGAAUAAAACCUCCAACAAUAUAGAAUCACGUCAUGUGAGCAGCACUGUUCCAGGAUUGCCCAUUCGACCUAAAUAUUACCUCAGUAACCCCAGCAGCAAUUUGAAGAACCCUCCAACCGUAAAGAGUUGCAGCAAUAUGUGUGAUUUCAUUUAUCAGCUGGUCAGAAGCGUUGAAAGGUCAGCUAGCUUAUAUUAACAUGGGUUUAACUAGUGCCAAAUGUUCCCUUUUCAAAGGAGAGUGUCAUGGCUACGCCAACCACAGCAUCAUGACAUCACCUGCUCCAUGUCGCGCAACCAAACCUGGUGAUGUAUAUGUUCCCCUUCCUCCCCCUAUGUGGAUCAAUGAGUGCUGCCAAUUUGAUCAAUCAGGUUUCAACACAUAAUGAGUGCCAUAGAAAUUUUGCUGGCAGCCAACUGAAUUUGAAUCCAUAGCUCAUAUAUUUGAUCAUGAAUUUUUUGUUUUGCCAAAGCAAGCAUAGGUGUUACUGAAGAGAAAAUGGAAUAUAAACCAAAUUUUCUUGUUUGCAUCAAUGCGUGUCAAUCACAAUAUUUUUGUUUCUUUUUUCCCGAUUCCCACAUUGACCUAAUUAUUAUUAGACUUUUAGGGGACAAAGGGUGAGAACUCUAGUAUCAGAGGGGGGAGGUGGUGCAGAGAUUUUGGGGAAAAAGGCUAAUGCCACAUGAAUUAGUAAGGAGAAAUCACUGUAGCAUUUUUAUCCAAUUUGAGAAUUUUUCCCUUAGGAAAGGAAUAAGGAUGUAGUGCCGGAAAGGAUGAUUUUGAAAAAAACAUAUGAAAAACGAUAAAAGAUGAGAAAUUCAUAAAAUAAUAAAAACAUUAUAGAAAUGAUAAAAAACAUUAUAGACAUUCUUUGUAAAAGUGGAUGUUUUUUUUAAAACAUUAUAACUCUACAUAUAUUCCUUUUGGUUGAAUCUUGCAUGUGUUUGUUUUUGGAAUCAAGUUGUUGAGUCAGCUCCAUCCCAUUUUUUGGGUUGGGUUGGACCCAUAUCAUGUUUAGAUGAAAGGCAACUUAGUUUUUUUGUUUGAUUGAAGGGAUCAAGAGACGUGGGAUGGACACUAGUUUCACACCGUUAGCAACAGUUAUUAGUGGGCCUCACCUGUUAUCCGUGGGGCCAACUAGUCAGCCUCUUAUCUUCUGCCUUUUUUUUUUCCUGUGACGCUUAUCUUCUUCCUCAUGUUUGCCUGCUCUGCCUCCUCACGCCGGCAUCGGAGCGCAUCCCGCCUACACCUCCGCGUCGCGCUGGCCGGCAACCCAGCUCCGCGUCCUCUCUUCCUCUUUCUCCAUGUCGCGCCGCCCGACCGCCCAGCUCCGCCUCCUCUCUCUCUUUCUCCGCGCCACCGCCAGCGGCCUCCUCGCCCCCCUACUCCGCCGCGCCCCUCAACCCCAGUGUCGACGGCCUCCUCAGCCCCUUGCUCCGCUGCCCCUCCUCGACCUAGUGCCGCCGGCCUCCCCCCCUACUCCGCCGCCUCCCCUCAGCCCAGCGCCGGUAGGCGGAGCCCAAGCUGGCCCUGACCAGCUAGCGAAGGUCCCCUAUGCGGAGCCUGAGCUUGCCUCGACCUCCUCCGAGCUGUCUCUACUUGCUCGAUUUGUUGGUGACGGAGGAAACGACGAAGAUGACGGAGAUAAAGUGGGUCGGAGUGGUCUGACUGAUUUGGAGGAAUGCAACCAACCCGUAUCUGGGAGAAUAUUCACUCCAGGGUCCAUCCCAACCUAGAUGAAUUUCAAACCAAACACUCGUAUAUCUGGAUCCAACCUAUUCCAACCCACUUCGACCCUUAAACCAAAUACACCCUUAAUCUAUCUCAUCACGCGCCUCCUUUUUUUUUAAAAAAAGGAUCAUCUUUAGCUUUCAUGGUAGCGUUAGUACAAGCAUUGUACUAAUGGUUGUUAGUUGUCGAGCAAGCCUUUCGUUUGAUGACUAUCACUACUCAUGAUUUUGUACAUAAUUAUAAAUUUUGACCUAUAAAACCACUUGCAUUUGAAUCCAUAUGAGUAGGAGCGAAAAUGAGAUACACAACAUCAUACUUGGAAUAAUGGACAAGAAAUAGAUAAAAAGGUGAAAAAUAAUGUGGAGGUAGCUGUUCCAGCGUAGCAAAAAUCGCAUUGAUUCCUUAGACAUGGAUCCUGCAAGCUAAAUUCUUUUCUAUGAUACUAAGACAAGUGACAACUGUGUAGCUUAAAAAAGAUUGUCUGAUAUGUGUUUUUAAAUAUUGCUUAAUCUAGUUGUUGGAUUACGAUUUUAUUUAGAAACUACUCCGUACCCACAUAAUUUGAUGGGAAAUUACCUGUCAUCGGCCCAAAAUAGUUGAACGCAUUGUUGACCUUUUGACACCUAAACCCUAUAAUCCAACCUACUUAGAAUCCAAAUUGACAAAUAGUCAAACAGAUACAAUAUGUGAUUCUAAAUAUUUGUCACGUUGAUUUUUAGAUACAUUGUUUGACCAUUCAUCUUAUUUAAAAAAUUAUAUAAAUAUCGUUUUGUUGCUUGUUUCGUCUUUAAGAUAUUUCAAGCCUUACUCGUAAAAGGAGAAAGCAUUUCAGGCCUCACUUAUAUAUAUUUGUAUUUUUAUAUUAAAUUCUUUUAAAUAAGAUGAAUGUCACGAUAGAAGAACAAACCUUGUCUAUCUCGUCCACUGUCCACGAGUGCUCACAGCGAAACGCGGUUAGAGACUGAGAGUGGCCCCGCAGUUUAUCGCCGCCUGGCUCCUCCAGCGCCCGCUUCCUCCCAACCCCGCACAAAACCUCGCCGUCUGCGACGAGAUUUUACUCAUCCACUCGUUAGUUUAAGUGUGAGGCCACCGCGUGCGGGGGGCGGCGGCGCGUGCGAGGUGAGCGCUCUAACCUGCGAUUUGGGACGGAGGGAGUACCAUUGCUGCCAGUGCCACCUCCCCCAAUCGCGGCGGCCAGUGAUCACAUCACCGAAACCCGCGGCCCUCGAGGAGAAAACGGCGGCGAUGAGGAAGGGCGCCGCGGUUGGCGCCGGCCCGGCUCCCGACCGGCGGCCCUCCUCGGAUCCACGCCCCCCCGGGGCUACCCCUCUCCCCGCCCCGCCGUUUCGUGCCGGAUUGCAGGCCCUUGGGCGGGCGCCGGUGCUGCGGCGGCGGGUGGGUUGGGGUUGGGGACUGUGGGGGCGGGGUCUGCGGCGGGUCCUGGUCGGGGGGCGUGGUCGGGCAGCGCGGGAUCUGAGCCGCCAUUGAUGGAUUUUUUUCGAGCGCUUGGUUUUGAUCGUCUUGGUACGCUCGCUGUUUCCUCCUCCUCGUCCUUCUUCUCGCCGCCGCCGCCGCCGCCGCCAUCCACCCACUCCACUCCACUCCACUCCACUCCUCUCUCUCUCUCUCUCUCUCUCCCGUAUGUGUAUGUGUGUAUGUAUGUUUGCACAUUCCACUCCCACUGAUCUCGAACCCUAGAUCGAAUCGAGGCUGUGUGCGGGCCAUUCUCACGAGCGGACGUCAAUUCAGGUCCCCAUCUCUACUGUGCCGCCUCGCCGCCGAUCCGUUGCCUUGCACCGGUGGCGGCAGGGGCUGGGAACUGUGCGGUGGCGCCUGACGCGACUGCCGAGUCGGGUUUUGGCCGGCCGCGGUCUACUGAUUCGCUACUCCGGAUGGAUGGAUGGAUGGAUGGAUCAUGGAUAGAUGCAAGGGUCCCGAAAUGGAGCUGAAAAACAUGGAGUGGAGCAGUCCAAAACAGGCCCUUAUUCUCUGUCCCAAUCAUUACUAUACAGCUGCUGCGGCAGCCACAGCGGUGAUCUCUUUAGCCUGCUGUUGCCUGUGUGUGCUGUGCUGUGCCUGUGAUCUGCUGACGGCUCUGCUUUGCUCUGGAUGUUCCUAGCCCUUCCGCUCCUCAUCCUCUCCACCUUGGUGGCAUUUGGAUGGGCAGUGCAAAUGGGAUCAGGAUAUGAGAUGAGAUGAGAUGCAAAAGAGGUGGAUUUUCUGACUUGAGUCAUGGUCAAAGUACCCAGUGUAAGUGAAAUUUUACUUAGGGUGACCAUAUCUGACAUUACCCGGACCUAUGAAUGGGGUGCUGAUGAAGGGCGAUGAUGUUCAACCUUUUCUGAAUUGCAUGCCAUUGAGCAAUCAAGGCAGCUGUGGGUAUCUAUGUAAUUUGAGCUGAUCUCUCCCCUCAUGAAGCCUAUUUAACCAUCUCUUAAUGUUUGUGGUUCUGUGCCUAGGAUGGUCAUUCAGAUAUGUGACAACCAGCACAGUUCCACUUAUAUUAGGAUGAGUAAAUUGUGCAGAAAGAGGUGUGAGGGCUUGGCUUGUAUGAUCGAGCAAAGGCGAAGCUGAGCCCUCUUAGUGCUAUUUCAAUACCAACAGCAUUGUCUUGCUGUACAAUUCAUAGUUUUCUUUCUCUCAUUUGAGCAUUUCAUUUUUCAAACUAUUGCCAGCCUUCAUUAUGAAGUCAGAACUCGGCAUUAGGGACUGCUCUUCCAUGAACUUGCAUGGAUGCCCUUUUGGGCAGCGGCAUCAAAUUAGGAGAAGAAUGGUUCCCUUUUUCUAAGAGUUGAUUCUUUUCUAAGAGUGUGAAUUUCACUUACAUGCAUGCCUUUGCUGGCGAUGAGCAUCCACCAGGCAUGCUCGCCCCUUCUCUUCCCUUCCUGCUGUGCUAUUUUUUCCUUGUAUCUGGGUCAGAUCCGAAUACAAGUAAACAGAGCACCCCAAACCCUAAUGUAAGCUAUUUGUAUUCCGGAAGGCAUAUUGGAGCCCCGCUCCACCCUCCAGUCUCCUCUCAGCUCACUUCCUGCACACGUCUAGUACCUGUCACGCUUUUCCUGGUGUUUAUAUACAGGAGAAGAUACUUCUUAUUGUUCAUGGUGCCGUACGAUCUUUUGUUUUUGUUUGUUCUACUCUUGAGUGGCUAUGAUGAUUCACCAUCACAUUAGAGAGAUUUUGCUCUCUAGCAUUGUUUUAGCUGGUACCUGGGAUAUUUGUUCUAUUCGUUGCUUAACUAGGAUGGCUUGUACAUCAAGUAACCAGUUCUGCAGCCAACUGCGGCAGCUGAUGGCUGUUACCGCUGAUACUGAUGACAGCUGGUGGCCCAUCUGAACUAACAUUGCUGUUUCAUUUAAGGAGAGGGAAAGAGAGAGCUUAAAGUGUGUUGCAGCUGAUAUUGCACCUAAUUUGCUAUUUGAUUUGAUUGCUUCAAACCUUUUGUUUUUUACUCCUUUGAGCUCUUAUCUACUUAUUUCUUUAUGCUCUUUUGCAAGUCCUGCAGUUGAUGCUCUACCAAUCCGCGAUUCUGUCUUGCGUUGCUGCCACUGAUCUCUAGGGUCGUUCUUCACUUCCCUUCCUGCUGGAUUCGAACCUGGGACCUGGGUUAAUGUUAUUGGGACUAAUAUGUCCAGUCAGUUCAAUCUCACGAGUGAGCUUUGGCUUCCUGUAAGAAUGAAUAAGAUAAAAUUCCAAUGAGGGGCAAUGAUCAGCAAUGAUGUCUGAUAUAAGUGCCUUUGAGGCAGGCUGCUCUGGGCAUCAAACUGGAAUCUUCCCCCUCUCUUGGAAACCUUAUCAACUAUGUGCUAAUGGCUUUCUCCUUGGAUGGUCAUGCCAUUCUUCAUGGGUGAUAACCAGGACAGCUCCUCUUUCAGAACAGGUUGAUAGGGUGGUAAGAGAAGGUGGGGAAUACAGUUAUAUGAUCGAGCAAAGGCGAAGCUGAGCCCACUCAAAUAUUUAACUGCUACCCACACUAUUUUAUGUGAUUCGAUUUUUUUGUUGAAUAUGUUGUUGCUUCAUGUUUUAUGUCUAACCUAUUUACCAACUUACUUUCUUUUUGCUGUAUUUGUAUAACUCCAUGCAGUUACCUUGCCAAUUGCGUUCAUUGGCAAGUUGUGACAUUUCUUAAUUUCUGCAGUUUAAUUCUGCUAUAUUUGUUUGCAGUAUCCUGCUGCAAUAUCUGUGGUUACAUUAUAUGAAGAUACUUUCAGCUAACUUAGUGCAUCUAAAAAUUUCUUGCAAUAAUUUCUUGAGUUAGUUGGACCUCCGUGAGUUUGGACUCUGGAGGCAUUGUGUUGUUGGGAAGUACUAACUUUGGUCAUCACAACUAUUAUAUCUGUGCUGUGUUGAUAGGGAUGCAAGUUAUAUGUAUUUUGGGUCAUUGGGUUGACCCAAAAAGUUGAUAAAAUGAAUUAGAAAAUAAUUUGGGAGGACCAAUAAACUAGAGUGGCAUGCCAUCAUAAUUUAUCAGCUGACCUAGAAAACACUAUUGGGUACCCACUAGCAUCCCUAUGCGUUGAUCCAUCUGGUAUAGUAUGCAUUCCUUUUGUUUUCGGAAUUUUUUUUGUCACUUGUCUGUUGAUCUUUCUUUCUUCUUUUGUAUAGCAUCCCUAUGCGUUGAUUCAUCUGGUAUAGUUCCUAUGCAUUCCUUUUGUUUUCGGAAUUUUUUUGUCACUUUUGUUUGUUGAUCUUUCUUUCUUCUUUUGUACUGUUCUUCCGUGGCUGUGAUGAUCGAAUGCCCCAUAAAAGUGUUGCUUUUUAGCAUCCCUGAAUUGUUGAUGCCUUGGGCAUUUUUCUCAAUUUGUUGCAUUAACUAGGAUGGCUUGUACCAUAACAAGUAACCAGUUUUUGCAACUAAUUGUUGUCAUUGCUACUGAUGUGGCUGUGGUGUUCUGGUAUUGGAGGAGGUUUAUUAAUGAAUGAUCCUACUUAAAAGUUCAUUGAGAAAGAGAGAGAGAGAGAGAGAGAGAGAGAGAGAGAGAGAGAGAUAGCAUGGUUCUUCCACCAAGUAUUGUGUUGAUAUUGGGGCAGAUCUGAGCCAUUCAAGUGACAUUACUGUUUGUUCCAUCAUUCAUUCGUACAAAGUUAUAUUUCUCGUUUGCUGUCUACUUAUAUUCCUUAAUGUUAUCCAGUACUCUCCAGUGAGUGAUUUCAACUUGGGAUCUGGAUGAUGGCAAUGGGACUAACAUUUCAACUCCUGUCUCCUGUCUCGUAAAAUUUGUAAUGCAUCUAGGCGUGGGUAGGUUCCUUGUUUUGUUUGUUGGGAUGCCAGCUUACUUGGAUGAAUUGAUCAUUUUGUUCUAAAGGAUAUUUUCUUUCCACAAGCUCUCUUAUUAACUACUGCAUCCAAUCUCUCUGGUGGUUACCCAAUGUCUCCUUACUGCAGUGGCAUGAUGUAUUGACUUGAAGGUUCUUUCUAGCAGCCAGUGAUGGCAUCAAGGGUCCUAAUUGCGUGCCAUGAGCCCAUGGCCAUGCCGCGUUGUGUGUGGAAGAAAUUGCCUGCUCCCUGUCGAGUGGCAUUGACAAUCUUUUUUUUAACUAACCAGGUAGGAGAGCUGGUAAUACAACCAAUGGGAAAAAAACGACAACAACAGGAUGGCUAGCCGGAUUGGGACAUCGACAUACCUUGCACUCAAUUCCUUGAACAAACUACUCUGGCCGGUCGGAUUCGGCUAUUGACACACGCCAAACUCAACUCUUCACAAUAAAGGUCGGAUUCGGCUAUUGACACAUGCCAAACUCAACUCUUCAUAAUAAAGUGCUCCGGCUAGUUGGAUCGGGAUAUUGAUAGUAGCCACGCAACGCCCCGCUCCACUCAAACCUCCACAACAUACAGCUCCGCGCUAAUGACCUCGGCACCUGCAAAGCCACCAUGGCACCUGCACAAUGCCAACACCCCACCGCUACCACCUCUCUCUUUUUUUCUUUUUUUUAAAAAAUAGAAAUAGAAACUCUCCGUAAUGGGCAUGAUGCGAGCUUCUAGAGUGACUGAAGGGGUGUGACAUCACAUGCGUGUUGACGGCUGUUAGCACGUCAAGUUGUGAACCGCAAGUGUAUGGAUCAGUUGUCGUUCUUUCCUCAGAGUAGUUGUAGUUGUCGUUCUUUCCUUAGAGUAGUUGUAGGUUUAUCAAUCCGUGGAAUUUAUGUACAACACAUUGUUAGUAUUAACUUGGGGAUUGUUAGUAUUAAUUUAGUAUUUAUGAGAGAUUCAGAUUCAAUCUACUAAGCAAGCAUGUACAGAUAGAUAAUAGACAGAGCAAAGGUAAUCAAUCUAGAGCAUAGACUAUGCAUAUGUUGUAAUUCUGAGCAUGGAUAGCAAAGCAACACAUAUAUGAUCUUAGUAAAAAGCGUCUUUAAAUUUACACCUUCUGUUCGGAUCCUGAAAUCCCCACCUUACGCAAGAAAGAUCCUAUCAUGAUCACCUCUAUCAGCGCAAGUAGGUUAAGGGUACGAUCAUAAGAUUAUGUCAUACUCAUCGGUAGAUCAGGCAUGCAAAUCUGGUCACCAUGAUCACAAGAACACUAUAGGCAAUCUAUCGUCGAUUCAUAGAUUGAAAAGCAAGCAAAUUCGAUAAAACAUAAAACCAUCAAAGGAGAUACUUAAAUUGCUAAGAACAUGAACACAUCUAUUACUUCACCAUGAAUGAUUGUACAUCACAAGAUUACCACCGGGAUCCUAUCUUAAUCUUGAUGACUUCUAGCUCCAGAACUCCAGCGUGAUCUUCCUCGCAGGGUGAUCACGCCGGCAGAGGUUCGCCUACGCUAGCGUCCGACAACUGCACGACCCUUGGCUCUCCGGAGAGGUGUCCUUCAAGCUCCUUUUGCUUCUUUGCUGCUUCAUGUCGAGUACGUCGUCUUGGAUAUGGGGCUCGGUGGAUUUUUCAAGGUAUUUAUAGUCCAUAGAGUGCGUGGUAAAAAUUGGAAGGCGAGGGGGGUGAAGGAAACCUCUAGACCAAUCGACCUGGGAGGGUUCAGGCCGAUCGGCCUGGGCCUUCCUUUUGGCCCCUCGCAUCUUGCCUCGUCUCCAAGUCUCCUCUGGUGCUUUGAAGUCCUAUUUUCACUGGCAUGUGGGGCUGGCACAUCGGUUACUUCGGGAUGAGAGUGAUCUUCAAUGACUUUCCAAAUCUCCGCUUGAUCUUCUUUGAUUCCUCUUUGAUCCUGAAGUGAUUCUUGCCAUAUCUUCACAAACUUAGCUCUUAAGCCACUCGGAGGAUUGCUUGCUAAAGAUGGGUGUUGGAAGACUCCAAAAGACCCUAGGUCGAUCCGCAUGGUCUCCUCUAGGCCAAUCGGCCUAGGCUGAUUGCUUGCCAAAGAUGGACGUUGGAAGGCUCUAGAAGACCCUAUGACGAUCGGCUUGGGCUCCUCUAGGCUGAUCGGCCUAGGCCCUUCUUGGGCCUGUUGGUCUCUGUCUUCGUCUGGUUUGAUGCCCGUUCAGUGCUUUAUCCAAAAAUAUACUUUUAGGUUCAAUUCCAUGCAAAAAUAGAACAUCCUCGCACAUGUGAAAAUGACCGGUUUAUUAGGUGUAAUUAAUAGUUUAGGUAUUAAAUUCAUGUCAUUAUUGAAGAUAAACAGGAGUAAAAGUGUGUCAAUAGUGAACGUUAACAAUCCUCCCAUACUUAAACCUUGCUUGUCCCCGAGUAAGUCUUCGAUAGAAAUUAGUGUUACCUUUCGUGUUCAAUCCUGCACUUGAUCACACACAAGAAAACAUAAUGCUCUUAUAGGAUUUUUCAAUUAAUAUUCAAGUUGCAACUAGCCUUCUCUAAUAUGGAGGGUAGAUAUCAUUUAAGCACAUCCCACAAUAAAUUUAUUCUUUUGCUCUCAAUUUUAAACAAACCUCAGAAGAUUUUCAAUAAACAAUUUAAACUUCAUUGCAAUUGCUCGUGUUCUCUCAGCUCAUCAAAUCUCUCAAACCUAUGCUAGAAAAUAUGUGUAAGGCUUUAUCUGGAUCUUUGGGAAGGUUAGUCCUAGCAAAAAUAUUAUAAUCAGGAUAUUAUCAAAACAAGAAAGACUUCUGAUGGAUUUUACUGAGACAUGUCAAAAAGGUCAUGGAAAAUAAUUGCUUAUGGAGAGAGAGAAUGAACACACAUUUAGAUAGUGGACAUGUGCAAGGGCAAAGAGUGAUCGUGAGGCACAAAUGAAGUCCUCGUAUUGGAUUGCACAGGGUUGGAAUAAUGAGUAUGGAGUAAUCCUUAAUCUUGAAAGCACUUGGAAUUUUUAUGAAGCUCAAAGAACCGAGGAUUAUUUUAUUUUUUUUCCUUUCUUUAUUUUUCCCCAAUAUAUAUUUUUUAUUUUUGCUCCUCAGAACUCUUUGCAACAUAUUACUUAUUCAGUAGUAGUCAGAGAUAAUGCGAUAACUCUUCCCCAUGCUUAGACGAUGCUUAUCCUCGAGCAUGAAAAGGAAGAAAGAUAAACUGCUAACGUAAGUACCAAAAGGAAAAAAUUAUCUUACUCCACUGGACGGGCUUCCACGCCAAAUUUCAAGGGCAAUAGAGGGGGAACACCCCAAGCCGAUAGGCAUGUGGGUGGCCAGGUCGAUUGGCCUGGCCUAGCCCCUUCUAGCCUCUGUUUCCUCCCUUUUUAUUCCAUACACUGGGGGUUGCCUUCAGGUCUUGAUUUUUAUGAAAAGGUACUGAAUAAUCUUCUGAAUCUUCGUCAAAAUAUCUUUCAUACUCAAAUUGGGUUGUGGUCAAGGAGAUAGUCACAAAAAUGAUAAUUUGGGUUUAGGUUUGGAUGCCCAGCGAAAUUUGCGAAAUUUCCAGUGUAGAAAUUCACAAUGCAUGGACAGAAAGGUUAGCAAUAAAAGGUUACACAAAAAGAAAUGAUCAGCUUCUAAGUCUCAUACCACAGAAGUAAAUCCUGAAUCAAUUCAUCCAAAAAUAAAUUUUGCAAUCUGUGGCUCAUAAAUAUUUGGCUUUGGAUGGGUAGAACAAUUGCAAAAAGUAUUAUUGACACGGUCAACAUGAGUUGUAACAAAAAAUAAAAGAGCCUUUGAUCCACUUAAAAGAGAGAGCAAUAAACAAAUAUAUGGGUCCAAAUUAUCAUAACCUCCAUAAAAAGAUAAGACGGUAUUUAUAUCAAUUUUAGUUCGUGUUAGAGAGAGCAUUAGUUCAAUGAUGUAAUAAUCAAGUACAAAAAUUAAACAAAGCGACAACUAUCAUCAUCUUUCAACAUGACAAGAACUCAAACCAUCACAAUUAAUCACAUAGCAUUAUAUUCAGGUGAUGCAUAUUUUAUUUAAGCAUGGUAUGGUGAAAUAAACGCACAAACUUAAAAUAAAGAGAAAAUAAAAUAGAAAAGUAAAAUAGAAAAUACUACGCAUACCCAACACACGUGCCGAAAUAAAUAAAAAGAAAAGAAAAGAAAACUCAAACCACACGUGUGCUGUUUUAUUCAUCCCCCUCGGUCUCUAGUCCAGGUCAUCUUGUGGUGGGUCAUAAUGUGGCUCUCCCUGCGGCACUGUCUCCUUACUGUUGGUACUCGUGAUACGCCUGCUCGUAGUGCUCCUGCGCUCCACCUUGGUACUAAUCUGGAGGCACAAUCCCCAGCAUGCCGAACUGAUAGGCGAUGGUUACGUUGCUAUCCUCAAUUCUGUCAGCGACUUGCCUCACAGUACCUGCAUUUUCUAAAUUUCUUUGUAUAUACGCGCCUAUGAUGCGCACACUUCUAUGUGGCUAUGGCAGAUGGCUGUACUGAAUAGACAAUGGAGCAUGUGGUGGGGUCCCUGAAAAGGAGGUGGCAUAUAACCGUGAAAAGCAUAUGGUGCCGGUGGAGGUGGAUGAACCGAUUGUUGAAAUUCUGAUCAUACUUGAUACGCCGGCUGUUGGAGAUGUGGCGCAUAUGGACCUUGUGCCCAUGCUUCUGCCAGCGCCUCCGGCCACUGUUCUUGCUGCCAUCCUUCAUGGACUCCCUCGUAACUUGGUGCAUUCUGAAACUUCGUCUGCCAGUAGCUUGAGCUAGGUGGUGGCACUUGUAUUUCUGGAGUUGCUUGUGAUAAUGAGCCUUUUUCUAUUCUUUGUCCUCUCUUGUCUUUCUUUGCGGGAAAUAAAAUUCCUUCUUUCCGCCAGUUAGUCUUGCCCACAUGGUAGAUUCCCCCUUCUGUCGGACAACUUGAAAUUAGUGACUCCAACUGUAUAUCCUUUCUCUCUGUCACCACCAAUUAAGUGUGCAUUUUUCAUUGUCCUAACGUCAAUGCUUCCUCCUUUAAUGAACAACUCGGGACCCUUUCGAUAUCUAGCUUCAAAAAGGAUGCAAUCAUGGUGUUUCGACGAAAAGAAACACUCCCGGGUAGGGAGCUUUCCUGACGCGUAACUAGAUAAUAUGUGCGAGUGUGCCAGUAUACUAUUGUAUACAAAAUAAAUAAUAAAGAGACAACAAAGCAUAGGGAACUCAGAUCUUUAUUAAUUCAUAGGAGAAUUACAAGUACAUGUUCCCACUGGGAUUUACAUUGAUAUUGCACCUGAAUUAACUGACUAAACAGGUCGAUGUGUAGUUCUUGGUUCCCGUGGCCUCGUGAGGCCGCCGGUUAAUUACAUGCAUUGAGCCACAGAAGACCUCCGAUUAAGCUACACUGAUGGUCGUCAUCUUGAAGUCUCCAAUUGUACAUAAGUAGAUGAGCUGUAACAUAAAAGACCAAUAACUAUGCUGUGCCAAAGCCACGUUGGUCUUCAGCAAUCUAUGUCUGGCCUUGUCAGUCAUAGAGUUCAUAUUGAAGUCUCCAAAAAUGAGUUCGGCCUCAUCGGUCACGAACAAAGAAUGUCCAGCAUCAUUGAUCAGGACUAUGUGGUUCUGGCCUCGUCGGUCACGGAAAAGUUGUAACUGAGUUAUCCCAGUCUCGUCGGUCUGGGAGAGUAGCCAAGACUUCGUAUGAACACACUGGUGUUGACAAUGCCAAAAAACGAAUGAGCUAGGAUAGCACCAUGAUUACGCUCAUAUACUCAUCAGAUAACCCGUCUUUUUUGUUUUUCUCCUUUUUUGAAAGAUUCUCACAAAUCCGCCCCUAGCGGAACCAUUUCAAAAUCUGGACCCUUAUCUUAGCGCCAUCCACGCUGGCACCAAGCUUACACGUCUCGGCACCAGCCAUCCUGGCGCCAAGGUCCAUGCGCAGCUGAUGACGUGGAUGCCGAUGUGGUCGGGGCUUGGCGCCAUCCAUCAUGGUGCCAAGCCUUGGCGUCAUAGAUCUUGGCGCCAAGCUUGGCACCGUAGAUCUUGGCGCUGAGCAAUUUAUCCUACCUGUUUGCGUUUCGAACGAAACAAGUAUAAUUAUUCUGAGGAGUGUGCAACAAACUAUGCCGCAGUUCAACUGGUUAGGAUGUGAGCUUCUUAUCCUAGAGAUAUGAGUUCAAACCCCUGUGUUGAAUCUUUGCAAAACAAAAUUUGGAAGGAACCAUCCUUUAGAGGGAAUUGUUAAAAGAUCCUUAGAAGAGCCACAUCGAGGGUAACCUGACACAAGAAUUAGAAGAAUUAGAAGAGCCACAUCGAGGGUAACCUGACACAAGAAUUAGAAGAACAUGAGUUUUGAAUUGUACUGCACUAUACAAACUCCACAAACUAUAUUAUCCUAGGAUAUGAGAUUUCGUAACAGGGGUUUGAACUCAGGUCUCUGGGAUAAGAAACCCACGUCCUAACCAGUUGAACCACAGUGUAGUUUGUUGCACACUCCUCGGAAUAAUUAUACUUAUUUCGUUCGAAACGUGAAGAGGUAUGGGUUAAAUUGCUCAGCGCCAACACGGCGCCAAGGCUUGGCGCCAUGGUGGAUGGUGCCAAGCCUUCGCCACGUCGGUAUCCGCGUCAGCAGCUGCGCAUGGACCUUGGCGCCAAGAUGGCUGGCGCCGAGACGUGUAAACUUGGUGCCAGCGUGGAUGGCGCCAAGCUAACGGUCCAGAUUUUAAAAUGGUUCCGUCAGGGACGUAUUUGUGAGAAUCUUAGGGCUAAAAAAUAAAAAAGACAGUCAGAUAACUUGUUAAGAAGACUACGGGUAGCUGAGGGUCACUCAGAUGAGUUGUGUCAUUAUCGACCUCAGGUGAUCAGUGGCGGUGCCGUGGUUCUUAUUGAAUGAUGACCUCACCAGCACGGCCAAUAUGUAACCUGUUUAGGAGAGACACAUGGCAAUGCCUUGACAUUCAGACAGCUACCGGGCUGACUUUGCUUGGUAAUACUAGCUUUAUUAAUAACUGGAGUGACUAUCAUAUCUUAGUACACCCACAAAAAGCCAGCUACUAGUUGCAUCAGGUUCACGUGUCAAAUUUGGAGGCCAUUGCUCUCACUAAUAGUGCACAAUCCACAAAAUGUGACACACGAGUGUUAAUUCUGUUGUAGCUCAAGGGCAAUCACAUGUAGUAUUCACUUUGUAGGAUCUCUCAUUGCAUAUUUACAACUGAUAGGUUUACAGAACAUGUAAAGGGCAAGUAUAUAUACUGCCACACUCUUCUUAUAUGCUAACUGUUUGAGGUAUGUGGUGCUUUUCUAUAUCUGAAUUUCUAUUGGGAAGUUCCUUGCUUCCUCACUGCUGCCUCACAUAGCCCUGCAUUGUAUGCCUUGCAUCUGUUUUACAGAGGGCGAGUGAUAGGCAGAAACCUUCUACGUGCAGCUGUGCACUAAUCUUUGCUUAGCUUGAUGAUGCGUCUGUUAUGCUCUCAGCUAGCUUGGCUGCUGCCCAGAUUAUCAGUGGCCUCACGGCUACUCUGAUCGCCUAAACUAAUUGGCCGGCAUCAUAGCCUCUUGUUGGCGAGGGCUGUAUCACCGCUGGUUCCCAUCUGCACAUCUCCGCCUAAUGGAACUGCUGCUGUCGUGACCUCUGAACAUCUGUACACCAUGCUCUUUGCUUUGUUACUAUCCUAAACAAGUUCGACGACACACGGCAAACAUCGCUGCCACCAGUGUUGUCAAGUGUAUACCACAGCCCACCUGAAACUCCAUUGACACUCUGAGUUGAGAGGCUUAUUAGCUGGAGCAUUAGCCAUUGGUUCAGUUCUGAAUUUGUAAGAUGUGCUUAUCUGACUAGCUAAUCUAAUAGGCUUCGAAUAGCAUAGCCCCUUACAGGAAGGACUGCAUCACUGCCGGCCACACAUGCGCAUAUCACUGCCUCCGCACAAGUACUACUGCCGGCCACUAUUCAUCACCAUAACCCUGUUUAUUUGCCUGCUUACUUCUAUCUAGCCUUUCUGCAUCUUGAAUGUGGCUGUACCAUUAUUCUAGUACUGCUUGGGGCACAUAUCAGGUUGUGCCCUGCUCUACAAGAUGCGCUGCUCUUGUGGUUUACUUCUCCUGCUCAUAAGGCCUAAAACUACCCUGCACCUCGACGAUGGCUGCAUUCGGCGCCACUCGGUGCCUCAACUGAACUGAUACAAAACCGGCUACUUGAUCAACUGCCAGAUGCCUCUUGACUGCCUUCUUGUUUGCCUGCGUAGUGCCUACUCCUGCCCGGUUGUCACUUCUUAAUGAUUGUGGCCAAUCUGAUUAACAAGUCUAAAUGACUUGCGUCACAGCCUCUCAUAGGGAGGACCCACAUCACUGCUGCCUUUUAUCUACACAUAUUUGCCAUCACUGAUCUGCUGCAUGCUCACCAUCAGAGAGAGGCUACUUGCAUCUGCACUGCUGUGCCUAAUCUGUCCUUAAUCUUGUGACGACCGCACUCUUGAUCUGCCAGCAAUCAACUUGUGAUCUGCCCUCUACUCACACCUUAAUCUUGUGACGACAGCUCGCUCUUGCACUUUGCACCUAUACUGCAGCCAGCCCUUGUUCUAUCUAAGAUCUGCCUCUCUCUUGUGAUGGCAUCUUAAUCUUGUGACGAACUGAACAUGUUUGCAUGCUACAUCUUGUGAAGACAGCAUCUGCACCCUGAUCUUGUGAAGACUGCUAGCACACCUAUAUCUACUACUCCAUGGCUGCUCUUUUCUAUUUUCUUCUGAAGACCGGAUCUUGUGACGAACUACAAGCGCCACUGAGGGCCUGGCGUUGCCUUGGCUUGCCUCUUCGAUGACGGUGGCAAUGGCAACCUGUACCUAGCAAAAAGAUAACCACAGAGCUGCAGCUGCUGUGGAGUCUCACCAUGUAGUGAUGCGGCCAUGGCGACGGCGGCGGCCUUGCUUCUCCUCGGCGUGACGGGCGGCGACGCUAGCGGCCUCCUUCUUUCGAUCUGUGUGUGCGCGCGCGCGCGCGUGCGCUGUGGACGGGAGCCGCCGGCAGGGCCUCGGCUUCUCUCUCCCGGUUUGUGUCUCCUCGCAAGCGAAAUAGGAUAUGGCUUUGUAUAGGCAGUGCUUAAGGUUAACGGCAGGAGGAGCGUCUGGAGUCGAGCGCCGCCGUGAUGCUGUUAGCGAGCGAGCGAUUCCUGCGGGGCAACUCCGUGGACGAGGGGCCGAGAGCUGUUGCGACGCGUUGUCAAAUUCAAACGUUGCUGAACUAGAGCCUAUCCUCUCGAUUGUUGUCUAGAAACUAGAACCACUAAGCUUUGAACGAGAGGAUAAGCACGCAAUAGCUUAUAGCUCAGGAAGAUAACAUGUGUACCUUGCCGUUCGAAGUAACGCCUGAAUGCGUGAUGGCCGAAAGAUACUGGUACUUGUACGUAUCUCAUACGCAUACGCGUACUGGACGAGCGUCAUGCAAAAAUGAAUUGUGGGCCGUUGGAAAGCUUCGAACCAAUUGGGCCAGCCUUUAUCAGUUUGUUUACUAGCCGCACAACAACAGGGUCCACGUAAUCACAAGUGGGGUCCACGUAAUCACAAGUAUACCCUCCUCAAAUAAAAAACCGUAAUCAGUCGCCACGUCGGCGGAGGCAGGCUGAAAUUGGGAAAAGGAGAGGAGGACGAUGCUCGCGUCUCGCGACGUCGGAACCCCCGGCCCCGGCGCCUCCCGCGCCGGCGUCAGCAACCCACGCCCAGCCUCCGGCCCUGAUACUCCUCGCAUCAGCGCUGCCCAGCUUGGCCCCGGUGCCGGUGCACUAUGCACUGCCGCUGGCGCCCAUGCCGCCGCCGCUAGCGCAACUCGUGCUGCCAUCAGCAACCACCCCGCACCUCCACCCCACCACAGCCGCUUUCGCCGCGACAAGCCGACGACGCGCAAUGGACUCGCCAGCGCUGCAAGAACUCCAGUCGACAAGGUCGCCGCUCGCCCGGGUUCCAAGCUCCAGGAACUUCUCCUCCACGACUUCCACUCAGUAGCUUGCCCAGGUGCUCUCCCCUCUGCUCCGGACUCUUUUAUCUGGAUCACUCCGCCGUUCCUGGCCCGGCGCUUCAACUCUGCCUAUGUAUCCUCGGUUCUCUCUUUCCAUCUCACCGCGCCCCCCCUUCUCGUCCGUUCUACCGCCGUCGCCUCCAGUGUCUUCCGCGCUCGGCUGUCAAGCGUCAAUGUUACUAACUUCAUCCUCUCGCGGGGGCAUCUCAGCUUCGCUGGCCUCAAGUUUUACCUUCACCACUCGGAAGCUCGAGCCAUGGCCACAGCCGCUUGCCUCCGCGAGGAAGACGAAGCCGUUAUUGCGGCCCACCCACCACCUGGGCCCCAGCCUGACAAGCGCGGGGCACAAGGCGCCAGUUUUCCCCAGCUCCCCCCUGGCGACCAAAUGAACGCUUUGGCAUGUCAGAAACCUGCGGCUGGGUACUUUUCGCGGAUCCAGAAGGAUACGCCCUUUACUCCAAGCGCUGACCUCGGCCUGCUCCCCCUGCCGAAACACGCCUCCCGCCGCUCAGAUGUGACCGGGAGCGGCGACACCGACCGCGACAUCGCGUCCGCGUUCACUGCGCCGCCCACCCCUGGCGCUCAACCCUAUCUUCUCGCUGCGCGCGCACUUGCCUCCUUAACUCCGACGCCCGAGCGACGACACCCAAAACCCAUCCCCCUCCACCACGGCGGCUGCCAUCGCUGCCUUUCUCGUGACCACCGCGUUCAAGACUGUAGAGACCCUAUACGCUGCCGUUUCUGUCGUGGGUCUGGGCACCGCGCCUACGCUUGCCCCAUGGCGUUCCCACGUGAGCAGACUCCUCACCCCCGCCGCCGCCCCACCAUUCCCCUCCCCGCGUCUUGUGUGUCGAUCAACGCGGUCCCCUUCCUCCCCCGCAGCUCGCCUCUGCCUUCUGCCACGCCAACGCUGCCGCCCACCCCGCUCAACCUCCCUCCUUUCACCACGGCCUUUGACCCGCUGCGUAUGCUCGCCUCCACAAGCCGCGCCCCCGCGGUCGCGGAGCGAGUGGCUGAACUGCGCCCCCCCGCCUCGGAGGAGGGGCCGUUCUACCUCGGCGACCUCUUCUGCGAGCCCCUGGACAAGGGCAAGCACGUGGCGUCUGGUGACCCCUCCUUCCCCCAGCUCCGCGCGUCGCAUGCCAUCCCUCAAGCGUGCGACAUCCGAGUCGUCGGUGCCGCCUCUCCGCGUCGCGCGUCUGGUGCCAACACGCCCGCCCCCAGGCGCUCGCCUCCCCCGACGCCGUCGGCUGGUCCCACUGCGCCGGUGGCCCCUGUGUCUCCGCGACAGGGCGCGUCCAGCACAUCAGCGAGCAUGUCCGCCGGUGAGGCUGACAGCCCCCUGGAGGAGGAGUCGGUGGACAGUGAUGCCUUCGACGACGGCCCCGACUACCUGGAGGUCUGGGUCAACGAAGGCGACUGGGAGCACGCCUCCCGCUUUGCCUUUGUCUAUGUGGCCCCCCUAGCUGCUGCCGCGGCCCCCUCCCCCCUGAUCCACGCUGCGCUCCACGUCGCAGCGCCGCACCUGCAUUUCCAGCUGCUCCCGUCGCCCCGUGGUGUGGCACUGCUACACUUUGGCUCCCCCGCGGCGCAGGAGAUGGCAAUGGACGUGCAGCCGGUGCACCUCAACGGCGCCACUGUCACUCUCGAGCACGUGGAGGAAACUGAUGAUCGCUUCGUCCGUGUGCUAGAGUGGCUUGCGCAUGUUGCCAUCUGGAAUCUCCCCCCCGAACACUGGUCGAUCGAGCAGGUGCGUGACAUCCUUCGCUGUGUCGGCACCCUCAUCGAAGAGGAUCCUUUUUGCAGCCCUGGCUUCGACCGUUCCUGCAUGCGCGUGGUGAUUGAGCUGCAGCACCCUCGUCUCCCCAGCCGCCUCGGCGUCCACACCCCGAGCGGCCACGGCGUCGUUCUGCGCCUGGGCGGUCUGGCCUUCUGGCCGCGCGAGCAGCAGUUCGAGGAGGCGGGGGACUGGAUCCCAUUCUUCGGCCCAACUCCGCCACCACCGCCACCUCCCCACAACAACGGCCUGCCCCCCACUCUGCCGCCUACCAACCCAGCGCCUCCACCCCCACCAGCCGCACACCCGCCAGAGCAGCCGCAUCCCGCGCCGCUUCACCCAGCCUCGUUCAUUGGUGCCUCAAUCCUUUGCCACGGCUUCAUAAAUCCUUUCCCCCUGCCGCCCCUGCCCACUUUUCCCAUCCUGAUCCAGUUACCCCCCUCGGGUGCCAGUGGAGACCUGGGAGGCUACGGUGCCAGGCCGGUCCUGCUCCUCACCUGGCGCCCCACCGCGCCUGAACCAUGCCCGCCACCCACACCGCCCAACACACCGUUGCCAGCGCGCUCCCCCUCAACCCCGCCACCUGCAACAUCAGAUGCGCCCCCGCGCUACCCAUCUCGCCCACCCCCCCGCAAACGCCAUAGCGCCCGCCUAGCAGCAAAGGAAGAUGGAAAAUUCGUGGAUGCCACCUCCAAAGCAGCCCAGCUCAAAGCUCUCUGCGAUAGCCUCGCUCUCUGUUCGUCUGCAGUUCAAGCCCAUGUUGCUAAGAAGAAACUGCUGACGAAGAGGAAGAAGCCAAUCUCUGGAGCGGAUUUAGUGAAGCUUGCUGAUGCUGUGGGGCUCGGUCAGGAGACGGCCAAAGCUCUGGACCGAGUCCUUGCCAUCGGGAAGGCCACUGCUGCUCAGCUGAACAAGGUGCUUGACGCCCCCAAUGCCUGAAUUCCAGAAGACUUGCACUCGUUUCUGCUGUUUGCCCAUUCUUUGCAGAAACGUCAGUUACCUGUCCGCCUGUGUGCUUCUGUUGCUUCUUUGCCGUGAGUCUCGUGUCUGGUCCUCCAGUGUCUUAGCUCCUUGUCUUGUGCCCCUUUUAGAUGUUCUUCUGCUUUUGAUCUGGUGUUGUAAUUGUACUUAUGAAUCUUAAUUUUAGUUCCUUUUCCCUUCUAUCCUGGAAUGUUCGUGGUCUCGGAGAUCCGCAAAAGUGCACGGUUGUUAAAGACUCUAUCUCCUCCUCGCAUCCUAGCAUUGUUUGUCUGCAGGAAUCCAAGCUGCGUGCCCUAGAUGGCCUCAAGGCUCGUUCCUUCCUGCCCCCAGCCAUCACCGCCUUCCGCUGUGUUGACGCUUUAGACACGCGAGGUGGGAUCAUCACUGCGUGGGAUCCGACGAUUUUCGCCGCUGAUUCUUUCAUCACUCGACGCCAUACUCUCACUGUUUUUCUUUCCUCCACGGCCUCCAACUACUCCUUCGCCGUUACUAACAUCUAUGCUCCCGCGGACCAUCGCGACUCUCUGCCCUUCCUUGAAGACCUGCGUUAACUCACCCAGCACAUCUCGGGGAGCUGGGCGUUGGUGGGCGACUUUAACCUUACCAGGAGUGACCAAGAAAACAGCAAUGGCUCCUCCCACCCCGGCCUCUGUGAUGCCUUCAACGCUACUAUUGACGCGCUCUCCCUCCUUGACCUGCCUCUCCUGGACCGCCUUUUCACCUGGUCUAAUCACCGCGCUUCCCCUACGCUCGCCCGCCUUGACCGCGCUCUCUUCAAUCUCGCGAUGAACACAACCUUCCCGAACUCCUCCCUGUGUUCCUUACCAAAAACUACCUCGGAUCACACCCCCCUCCUCCUCCAACUGUCCACCUCUAUCCCGAAAGCAAACAUUUUCCGUUUUGAAAACUCCUGGCUUCAAGAUACAAACUACCUCCCUACCAUCCUGCCAGCUUGGACUCAGAACGGCGGCUUUGAUGCGGCUGGCGUGAUUGCUCGUGCGCUCAAGGCAGUCCGCUAUGCGUCUAAGGCUUGGGCGCGAUGUAAGCGUGCUCCUCCCGCUCUCCCUUCCAAUUGCAAGUUCGUCAUUUUCCUGCUUGAUGUGCUCGAAGACUUUCGCUGUCUUUCUCCAGGUGAAGCGCUGCUGCGUCGGGCGUGUCAAGACAGACUUGCACUAGUGCUGCGUGAACGGGCUGCGUUCUGGAAACAACGCGGCAAGUUCCGCGCGAUGCGAGAAGGCGAUGCGAACACGCGGUUUUUCCACGCGCAGGCCACCACCCGGCUGCGCCGGAAUAACAUCCGCACUCUGAACAUCAAUGGAGUAGUGCUGAGCUCGCACCAGGAGAAGAUGACGGCUCUCACGGUACACCUCCGGAGCUUGCUCGCCGAGCGCGCGGUGAACCUGAGCGGGGUCGACCUUGUAUCCUUGUACUCAGGCUUGUCGCGCGCGGCGAGCGCCCCGCUCCUUGCCCCCUUCACCGAAAAUGAAGCGCGAGCAGCUGUCCGCGCGAUGAACAGGACAGGCUCCCCGGGCCUCGACGGGUUUGGCCCCUCCUUCUAUGCCGCUGCUUGGGACACGGUACGCCACGCGGUGAUGGCGCUUGCGCAGGCGUUCCAGGAGGGGACUGCCGAGCUCGAGCGUAUCAACCGUGCCUACAUUGUCAUGAUACCGAAGCAUGCGGCAGCAAUGUCGCCGGGCGACUACAGGCCGAUCUGCUUGCAAAAUUGCUCCCUCAAGAUCGUCUCCAAAAUGAUGACUUCCUGGCUCCAGUGUCAGAUCUCCAAGCUGGUUGACCCCGACCAAACAGGCUUCAUCAAGGGGCGUUCAAUCUCUGAAAAUUUCAUCUAUGCAACUGAGUUGGUCCGGUGCUGCCAUAGACGAAGACUGCCUACUGUGGUCCUGAAGCUGGACUUUGCAAAAGCAUUUGAUUCAGUCGAUUGGCGUUGCCUGGCUGCCGUUCUCGCCGCUCGGGGCUUCCCUGCGCAAUGGACUGCGUGGACUCUCUCGUUGCUGCACAGUUCCAAACUUGCGGUACUGAUGAAUGGGGUGCCUGGGCCAUGGUUUCCCUGCAAACGCGGUCUUCGACAGGGUGAUCCACUGUCUCCUUACCUAUUCCUGCUCGUCUCAGAUGUGCUCCAACAAAUGAUCAAGCAAGACCGCAGAAUACUCCACCCGGCCAACUCUGACCAGCCGUGCCCGGUGUUACAAUAUGCGGACGACACUUUGAUCCUCAUGCAGGCCGGUCAAGAUAGUGUGGUGGCCCUGAAGCAAGUGCUGGAACUCUUCUCUGAUCUCACUGGGCUGCACAUAAACUUUAGCAAAAGCACCAUGGUUCCUUUGAAUGUUGACAUACAUCAGGCAACUGCCUUGCAGCGGGUCCUUGGCUGCCAGCUCGGUUCUUUCCCUCAAUCUUACUUGGGGCUCCCCUUAUCGAAUGAGAAGCUCAAACUCUCGGCCUUCACCCCUCUGAUUGCCCGGGCAGACCGACGGCUCAGUGGAUGGCGCGCCUGCCUCCUCAAUUCCACAGGGCGAGCUGUGCUGAUAAACAGCGUCAUGGACAGCCAGCUGACGUAUGCAAUGUCCGUUCUCCUCCUCCCCCCUGGUGUGGUGGAUGCUUUAAACCAUCGACGCCGAAGUUUUCUUUGGGCUGGAGAGGAUACGGUCAGUGGUGCUCAAUGUCUUGUCGCCUGGGAACAUGCCUGUCGGUCGAAAAAGCAAGGGGGGCUAGGCAUCAAGGAGCUUGGCGCGAAGAACCAGAGUUUGUUGCUGAAGCUUCUGCACCGCAUCUACCGGCCGGGGGAGUCCUCCUGGGCGCAAUGGGUACGCGAGAGGAUCAAUCUCGCCUCGCUACAAGGAUCCCUGGAAGGGGUCCAUUGGGCAGCUCUGGGCAGCGUGCUACCGCUAUACCGUGCUGUCACGAGCUCUGAAGUUGGCAAUGGCGAGAGCACGAGCUUCUGGCAGGACAGAUGGCUAUCGGUUGGUCGACUGGCUGCACUAUAUCCUGCUCUGUACUCCCACACUACACACCCGGAAGCCUCGGUGUCGCAGGUCAUUGCCGACGGGAUUCACAGGCACCUAAUGCCCAGGCUGACCCAUGCGGUUGCUGCUGAACUAGAUGAUCUGAACCUCAAGAUUGACCAUAUUGCCCUGGGCAAUGCCGAAGACCAACGACAUAGCGCCCUAGCCCCGCCAAACGCGCCCUUCCAAUCUGGUGCUGCCUACAAUAACAUCAUGGAAGCGACUGGCCCCCCUACCUGCACCUUUGCCAAUUUUGUUUGGUCCAACCGAGCACCCCCUCGCGUGCAGUUCUUCGCCUGGCUGAUGGUUCAGGAACGGAUCAGCUGCCGUGCAAAUCUUGUCAAGAAGCACAUCCUAGCUGACCCGGCGUGUGAGCUGUGUGGCCAGCCAGAAGAUUGCGAUCAUCUGAUCCUCCGCUGCCGUUUUGCUGUUCAAGUCUAGUCGGCGCUGCCCGCCGAUACAACUGGGGUUUCGGUCCGCUGUCUAUGGAACAUCCCCCAUCCCACGACGGUGUCGAGCCGCCACUACUCCAGUUUCAUUCUUCUCGUCUGUUGGUUGCUAUGGAAAUCCCGUAAUGAGCUUGUUUUCCAGAACAUUACCCCGUCGGUCGGACGCUUCUGGCUCGCAUGCCACGACGAAGCCCGGCUAUGGAGCCACCGACUAAAGAUCGAGGACCGCCAGAUAGCGGAUGCCUGGUGCUUACUCUUUAGUUCAAUGUAAACUAAUGUAAUCUUCAUCCCUCCCCCCACCUCGUUUAUUGCUUAACAUCUAAUGUACUUGCAUUUGGCCAUCCUUUGGGCCCUAUAAUGAAAUCAGGUGGGGCACUCCCCCCCCACCCCGUUGACCCCUCAAAAAAAAACCGUAAUCACAAGUAUACAGUCUCAAAUACAUGGCCAUGCAAAGGGUACGUGAAAGUGCCCAUAGCUCCAUUAAGGUAGCGUAUAAAUCUUUGCUGUUAAACACACCUUCCGUAACC